GGGCAAACGCUGCGAGCCGUCGGGUGAAUUAGCAGCAAAACGCAUUCUUCUGGAGGCAUAUCCGUACAGGGCCCUCCAUUAGACACGGGCUGUGUUUGCGAGACGACGGGAGCAACAUGAACACAGCCGGAGGAGGACGAGGGACGAAGAGAGAGUUCAGACCCGCAGAGCAGCGCAGGCUUCGGCACCAAGGAACUUCUUGGUGUCCGUGUCUCUACCGCUGCUGCCUCCUCACACACGCAUCUCUGAGUCAGUGUCGAGUUGCUCAGCAAAUCAUGGCAGCGGCGAAGCUGCUCGUCAAACCAGGAAUGUCCCAGCUCCACAGCUCACUACGGCUCCUGGAGAGGAGAGGGAGGGAGGGAGGGAGAGAGAAGGCAGGGGGGUGUUACCCAUAUACACUGUGCAUUAACAACUUUUACAAUCUAAUGAGAACAAAAAACAAACUUCCUCCUUCCUCCUCUGCGCAGCCGAGCUGUGUGACUUAUUGUUCCCAUGUAAAGGUGAAUGCACCUGAACGCAUCCUCGUCUUAGUUUAACUUCAUGAUCUCAUAGUGAGGCCUUUAUUAAUGGGGAUUCAUCAUCACACACACUGAUUUGUUUGGCUUGUUUUCUUGUGGAAGUGACAGAGAUUGUUCUUUUGUGUUCAAGGCACCCUCAGGCUUGAUUUAAACAUCACUGUCCUCACUUUGUAAAACAAAAUGUAACAAAUAAAUAAAUAGCUAUAAAUUUACUGAAUUAUUUAUUAUUAAAAUGAUAAAUCAUGCACUGGAAACAUGGUAAAAAAUCUU
Molecule: long non-coding RNA, 788 nt
Organism: Sebastes umbrosus (honeycomb rockfish)
Lineage: Eukaryota; Metazoa; Chordata; Actinopteri; Perciformes; Sebastidae
Exons: 2
Source: RefSeq, a predicted model, not a curated record